This 161-nucleotide ribosomal RNA is filed under the name uncultured bacterium. RNAcentral's name for it is "partial 16S ribosomal RNA". It matches the Rfam family "Bacterial small subunit ribosomal RNA", at positions 358 to 511 of the family's 1533-position model. The record is from RNAcentral.
GGAAUCUUCCACAAUGGGCGCAAGCCUGAUGGAGCAACACCGCGUGAGUGAAGAAGGGUUUCGGCUCGUAAAGCUCUGUUGUUAAAGAAGAACACGUAUGAGAGUAACUGUUCAUACGUUGACGGUAUUUAACCAGAAAGCCACGGCUAACUACGUGCCAG